CCGAUAUGGGCGUAAGCGUCGCAGGCGGCCCUUCAAGUCUGCUGUAAAACGUGGAGCUUAACUCCCAUCAUGGCAGUGGAAACUGUUGGGCUUGAGUGUGGUAGGGGCAGAGGGAAUUCCCGGUGUAGCGGUGAAAUGCGUAGAUAUCGGGAAGAACACCAGUGGCGAAGGCGCUCUGCUGGGCCAUAACUGACGCUCAUGGACGAAAGCCAGGGGAGCGAAAGGGAUUAGAUACCCCUGUAGUCCUGGCCGUAAACGAUGAACACUAGGUGUCGGGGGAAUCGACCCCCUCGGUGUCGUAGCCAACGCGUUAAGUGUUCCGCCUGGGGAGUACGCACGCAAGUGUGAAACUCAAAGGAAUUGACGGGGGCCCGCACAAGCGGUGGAGUAUGUGGUUUAAUUCGAUGCAACGCGAAGAACCUUACCAGGGUUUGACAUCCUGCGAACCUCUUGGAAACGAGAGGGUGCCUUCGGGAACGCAGUGACAGGUGGUGCAUGGCUGUCGUCAGCUCGUGUCGUGAGAUGUUGGGUUAAGUCCCGCAACGAGCGCAACCCACGUCUUUAGUUGCCAGCAUUUAGUUGGGCACUCUAGAGAGACCGCCGGUGAUAAACCGGAGGAAGGUGUGGAUGACGUCAAGUCAUCAUGCCCCUUACAUCCUGGGCUACACACGUACUACAAUGCUACGGACAAAGAGCAGCAAGUUCGCGAGGACAAGCAAAUCUCAUAAACCGUGGCUCAGUUCAGAUCGUAGGCUGCAACUCGCCUACGUGAAGGAGGAAUCGCUAGUAAUCGCAGGUCAGCAUACUGCGGUGAAUACGUUCCCGGGCCUUGUACACACCGCCCGUCACACCAUGGAAGUUGGCCACGCCCGAAGCCGUUACUCCAACCCUUGUGGAGGAGGACGUCGAAGGUGGGGCUGAUGACUGGGGUGAAGUCGUAACAAGGUAGCCGUA
This 954-nucleotide ribosomal RNA is filed under the name uncultured bacterium. RNAcentral describes it as "bacterial SSU rRNA". It matches the Rfam family "Bacterial small subunit ribosomal RNA", at positions 545 to 1504 of the family's 1533-position model. The record is from RNAcentral.